AGCGGCGAACGGGUGAGUAACACGUGAGCAACCUGCCCCUGACUCUGGGAUAAGCGGUGGAAACGCCGUCUAAUACCGGAUACGACCUUCCGCCUCAUGGUGGAGGGUGGAAAGUUUUUUCGGUCAGGGAUGGGCUCGCGGCCUAUCAGCUUGUUGGUGGGGUAACGGCCUACCAAGGCGAUUACGGGUAGCCGGCCUGAGAGGGCGACCGGCCACACUGGGACUGAGACACGGCCCAGACUCCUGCGGGAGGCAGCAGUGGGGAAUAUUGCGCAAUGGGCGAAAGCCUGACGCACCGACGCCGCGUGGGGGAUGACGGCCUUCGGGUUGUAAACCUCUUUUACCACCAACGCAGGCUCCGGGUUCUCUCGGGGUUGACGGUAGGUGGGGAAUAAGGACCGGCUAACUACGUGCCAGCAGCCGCGGUAAUACGUAGGGUCCGAGCGUUGUCCGGAAUUAUUGGGCGUAAAGAGCUCGUAGGCGGCGUGUCGCGUCUGCUGUGAAAGACCGGGGCUU
Molecule: ribosomal RNA, 516 nt
Filed under: Nocardiopsis alba
Lineage: Bacteria; Bacillati; Actinomycetota; Actinomycetes; Streptosporangiales; Nocardiopsidaceae
Description: bacterial SSU rRNA
Rfam family: Bacterial small subunit ribosomal RNA
Source: RNAcentral